RNAcentral lists this ribosomal RNA (254 nucleotides) under uncultured bacterium. Its description in RNAcentral is "partial 16S ribosomal RNA". It matches the Rfam family "Bacterial small subunit ribosomal RNA", at positions 524 to 776 of the family's 1533-position model. The record is from RNAcentral.
GACGUAGGGCGCGAGCGUUGUCCGGAUUUAUUGGGCGUAAAGAGCUCGUAGGCGGUUUGUCGCGUCUGCUGUGAAAACGCGAGGCUCAACCUCGCGCCUGCAGUGGGUACGGGCAGACUAGAGUGCGGUAGGGGAGAUUGGAAUUCCUGGUGUAGCGGUGGAAUGCGCAGAUAUCAGGAGGAACACCGAUGGCGAAGGCAGCUCGCUGGGACGGUACUGACGCUGAGGCGCGAAAGGCGUGGGGAGCAAACAGG